GGGUUGAUAUUUUAACACUAAACUCCUUAUUGCGUGUAAAGCCCUGGAAGUCUUCUUCCUCCAAGCCUCGAACUGACAAACGUUUUCUGGUUUUGGAAGUUCAGCUGUACCCUGCACUGCAUCCCAAAGGCCUCUAGCCAACAAGUAAUUUUUAACCAAUGCACUCCAGUACUCAUGGUUAUCUUCGUCAAGAACCUCCACAACAAUUGCGUCGGCAGGAACCACAGGUUUCACCAUUCUUACUGCUAUUCAC
Molecule: long non-coding RNA, 253 nt
Filed under: Prunus persica (peach)
Lineage: Eukaryota; Viridiplantae; Streptophyta; Magnoliopsida; Rosales; Rosaceae
Description: long non-coding RNA (PPER_LNC002392)
Source: RNAcentral